Molecule: long non-coding RNA, 288 nt
Organism: Symphalangus syndactylus (siamang)
Lineage: Eukaryota; Metazoa; Chordata; Mammalia; Primates; Hylobatidae
Source: RefSeq, a predicted model, not a curated record
AAACAGAUCUGGAGACCUGUGAAGACAAAGUCACUCAGCUAUCAUCAUGAUGCAAUUUACACCGUCUAAGUUUUUGGUGGCCAGAUGAGAUUUAUCCAAAAGAAUACUGAGAUAUUGAAGGCUCCCAAGGGGACCCCUGAAAUCCAUCAUAUCUACACACCCCGCAGAGUGGAGGACUGUGGUUACACAGUGGUGAAUUCUCACCAAUCACAAUUACUUAUUGCAGAUUCUGCCCUGCCUUCUCUGCUGGCGCACCUGCCCUGAACCUGAUGUCACAGACUGUAUGUG